Molecule: ribosomal RNA, 462 nt
Filed under: Bosmina fatalis
Lineage: Eukaryota; Metazoa; Arthropoda; Branchiopoda; Diplostraca; Bosminidae
Description: partial 16S ribosomal RNA
Rfam family: Bacterial large subunit ribosomal RNA
Source: RNAcentral
AAUAGCCGCAGUAUUUUGACUGUGCUAAGGUAGCAUAAUCAUUAGUCUUUUAAUUGAAGGCUGGUAUGAAUGGCAAGACGAGAAAGAAGCUGUCUCUUUUAAAAAAAUUGAAUUUCAUUUUUAAGUGAAAAAGCUUAAAUGUAUUUAAGGGACGAUCAGACCCUAUGGAGCUUUAUUUCGUUGAUUAGUUAAAUUUAUAUUUUAAAGUUAAUUAUUUGACGAAAUUUUGUUGGGGCGACAAAGAGAUAAAAAUAACACUCUUUUUAUUAAACAUAAAUAAAUGAAUAAUUGAUCCCUAAAGAAGGAUUAAAAGACUAAGUUACCCUAGGGAUAACAGCGUAAUUUUUUUGGAGAGUUCAAAUCGAUAAAAAAGUUUGCGACCUCGAUGUUGGAUUAGGAAUUUAACUAGGUGCAGAAGUUUAGUUGUAGAGUCUGUUCGACUUUUAAAAUCCUACAUGAUCU